This 480-nucleotide ribosomal RNA is filed under the name uncultured Entrophospora. RNAcentral describes it as "SSU rRNA". It matches the Rfam family "Eukaryotic small subunit ribosomal RNA", at positions 569 to 1047 of the family's 1831-position model. The record is from RNAcentral. Lineage: Eukaryota; Fungi; Glomeromycota; Glomeromycetes; Entrophosporales; Entrophosporaceae.
AGCAGCCGCGGUAAUUCCAGCUCCAAUAGCGUAUAUUAAAGUUGUUGCAGUUAAAAAGCUCGUAGUUGAAUUUCGGGAUUGACGUGAUGGUCGUGCCUUAAGGGGUAUGAACUGUCGCAGUUGAUUUCUCACCUUCUGGAGAAGCAUGAUGUCCUUAAUCGGGUGUCAUGUGGAACCAGGACCUUUACCUUGAAAAAAUUAGAGUGUUUAAAGCAGGCAUUUUGCUCGAAUACAUUAGCAUGGAAUAAUAGAAUAGGACGGCAUGGUUCUAUUUUGUUGGUUUCUAGGAUCACCGUAAUGAUUAAUAGGGAUAGUUGGGGGCAUUAGUAUUCAAUUGUCAGAGGUGAAAUUCUUGGAUUUAUUGAAGACUAACUACUGCGAAAGCAUUUGCCAAGGAUGUUUUCAUUAAUCAAGAACGAAAGUUAGGGGAUCGAAGACGAUCAGAUACCGUCGUAGUCUUAACCAUAAACUAUGCCGACU